RNAcentral lists this long non-coding RNA (564 nucleotides) under Homo sapiens (human). RNAcentral's name for it is "HSALNT0298517". Lineage: Eukaryota; Metazoa; Chordata; Mammalia; Primates; Hominidae. The record is from RNAcentral.
CUUUUUUCUUUGCUUUACAACCACAAGUUAUUGCCAGCUGAAAAGGAUAAUGGAGGAGUCAACUUUUAUAACACUGUUACUGGGAAUACUUGACUUACUAAGCUUUUACUGAACACUUUAAUUUUGGGAGUACAAUUUCUAAACUCACGAAAUAAUCUUCAUGCAACAAGAUGUUAUUUUAUCAAAUUUUGGUAUUACAUGCUCAUUCUUUGACAAAUUUUAAUUAACAGAUUUCUGAGAGAGCAGACACCAUCUUAUUUCUGUUGAAUUGUAUUUAGUAACUCAAAAGGCAUAUACCAAGCUGUCAGAAGCAGCUUCAUUUAAAAGAAAUAAAAUUUCUAGUCCUGCCUGAAGUUUAAGCUAGCCCAUGACUACACAAGUGCAACUGUAUUUCCCAGAAUUAAAGCAGCAGCCUUGGAUCCAGAGAUGGACGCCAAUUGAUGAAGACAGCAGAACUGACUGGCUAGUCUGGGUUCCCUGGAGCAGAGCUGUCUCUCCACCCUAGGUUAUCCACUUACUUUUGUACUGUUAUGUGAGAGAGAAAUAAACUUCUAUCUUCUUUAA